GAGCCUCCGCUGCAUCGACCCGUCUAAGUCUAUGGAUUACCUGAAUAGAACAGACAGACAGAUGUGAGUUUUCGUAAACUCAGUGUGUAACCCAAUAGAAAUAGACAUGCUAUACAUACAGAAUCAUAUACACAAUCAAAAAUAGAUUUAGAUUCACAUUCACAUUCACAUUCAGAUUCUGAUUCAAGUUCAUAUUCAAAUAACAGAAAAAAAUAUGAAAAAUCCUACCCCCGUC
RNAcentral lists this long non-coding RNA (235 nucleotides) under Gossypium barbadense (sea-island cotton). RNAcentral describes it as "long non-coding RNA (GBAR_LNC006383)". The record is from RNAcentral. Lineage: Eukaryota; Viridiplantae; Streptophyta; Magnoliopsida; Malvales; Malvaceae.